AGUAAAACUGAGUUCAUGCCUGUACUGACAUUAAGCACCUUGAUGUGGGUGUCAAGUGCCACAGCCACAUUUGCUAUGACUUUCUCUGCCUCGAUGUCUGUCAUAGAAUAUUACCUUCUAAAGCGUUUCCCAGUUCCUUACGCUCUCUACUUCUUUGCGGUGUCUAUUGUUGCCGCCUUUAUAGGGCAACAUGUGGUAAGAAAGUUGAUUAGUAUAUUAGGGAGAGCAUC
RNAcentral lists this unclassified non-coding RNA (230 nucleotides) under Hevea brasiliensis (rubber tree). Lineage: Eukaryota; Viridiplantae; Streptophyta; Magnoliopsida; Malpighiales; Euphorbiaceae. The record is from RNAcentral.